This is an RNA transcript of Mastomys coucha (southern multimammate mouse), 1022 nucleotides long. It is a transcript of the gene named exportin-6 pseudogene, with no coding region annotated. The transcript has a single exon. NCBI's taxonomy places the organism in Eukaryota, Metazoa, Chordata, Mammalia, Rodentia, Muridae. The record is from RefSeq and is a predicted model, not a curated record.
AUGAACCUGAGGUGUAUGUUUCAAAGGGUGAUGGAGAAGUUCCUGAAGGCCCUACAGGUGGUGGUUCAGGAGCCUGGCCAGGUGUUCAAGCCCUUCCUCCCCAGCAUUAUUGCACUGUGCAUGGAGCAAGUGUACCCCAUCAUUGCUGAGCGUCCAUCCCCUGAUGUCAAGGCUGAGCUAUUUGAGCUCCUCUUUUGAAUGCUCCAUCACAACUGGUGGUACUUCUUUAAGUCCACUGUCCUUGCUAGAUUGCAGAGGGGCAUCGCUGAGGAGCAGAUGGAGAAUGAACCCCAGUUCAGUGCCAUCAUGCAGGCUUUUGGACAGUCCUUUCUUCAGCCUGAUAUCCACCUGUUCAAACAAAAUCUCUUCUACUUGGAGACUCUGAACAUGAAGCAGAAACUAUACCACAAAAAGAUCUUCUGGACCACCAUGCUGUACCAGUUUGUGAAUGUGCUGCUCCAGGUCCUGGUUCAUAAGUCUCAUGACCUUCUGCAGGAGGAGAUCGGCAUUGCCAUUUACAACAUGGCUUCUGUCGACUUUGAUUGCUUCUUUGCAGCCUUUCUUCCAGAGUUCCUGACUAGCUGUGAUGGUGUGGAUGCCAAUCAGAAAAAUGUUCUGGGGCGGAAUUUCAAGAUGGAUCAGGACCUAACCUCGUUCACCCAGAAUGUGCACAGACUGGUAAAUGAUCUACGUUACUACCGACUCUGCAAUGACAGCCUGCCCCCUGGCACUGUGAAGCUCUAGGAAUGCCUGCUUGCCUUCCUGGCUACUCACUACCCCAGGGAUGUGCCUGCUGCCACUGCCACCUACAUCACCUGCACCUGUGCCACGGAAGUCUGUGACAAGCCUUGGCCACUCUCGGGAUGUGCGUGCCCUGAGCAAGUGGCCUGCCUCUACCUUCUCCUGCUGCCUCCAGCACGGCAGUUUCUGGAGUCCAUUUGACACUGGUAGAGUUUCCAUGCAUUUGGAGCAGGCAGAGGGCCCUGUGGCUGGAUGCCAGGGAGGUACCAGAGAUCCCACAG